Molecule: RNA transcript, 2316 nt
Organism: Solanum dulcamara
Lineage: Eukaryota; Viridiplantae; Streptophyta; Magnoliopsida; Solanales; Solanaceae
Gene name: probably inactive leucine-rich repeat receptor-like protein kinase At5g48380
Exons: 4
Source: RefSeq, a predicted model, not a curated record
CAAAUACUUACACUUUUACAAUGUGCAAUUGCAACAUUAUCUACUUAGUACCAUUUUUCAUAGUACUUUGUAGCUUUUUUCUAAGAUGCAACACGCUGCAGAGUGACAUUGAUUGCUUGAAAUCAAUAAAAGAUUCGUUGGCAGACCCUUAUAACAUGUUUUCUUCUUCAUGGAAUUUCGACAAUCAGACAGAAGGAUUUGUAUGCAAAUUUACAGGAGUAGAUUGUUGGCAUCCUGAUGAGAACAGAGUUUUAAGCAUUACACUUUCAGGUAUAGGACUAAUCGGUGAGUUUCCAAGAGGCAUUCAAGAUUGCUCUUCUUUAACUUCUCUUGAUCUUUCAAACAACAAGCUAUAUGGAACCAUCCCUUUGGAUAUAUCAAAAUUAGUCGGAUUUGUUGUAAUAUUUGAUAUCUCGAGCAACAAAUUCUCAGGCGUGAUCCCAAAUGAUAUUUCAAAUUGCUCUUUUCUCAAUACUCUCAAACUAGACAACAAUAACCUAGAAGGUCCAAUCCCAUCUGAAAUUGGCUCGUUACAUCGACUCAGGACAUUUAGUGUUGCCAACAACAUGUUGACAGGGGAAGUGCCACGUUUUGUCAAUGAUGCCUUUUCAGCUGAAACGUAUGUAAAUAAUCAAGGACUUUGUGGAGGUCCUCUGAAAGCAUGUGUUUUAGAACACGUAUCGAACAGUCAUGUUCUGUUUGUUUCUGGUUUUGUGACGGGUUGGUUGCUUUUCACUUUACUUGGUAUAUAUCUUUUUUUCUUUGGUUUACCCGGUGUAACGAAGAUGCUUCUAUUGAUCAAGAAGAAAAAAAAGACAGUACUGGUGUCUUAUGGAAGUAAACAUCCUGAAGGAGAAGAAAUAUAUAACUACCUGAAGAUUUUAAAGCUAGAGAAGAUUGCUACAAGAAUGAGUUUUACGGAACUAUCAAAAGCGACUUCAAAUUUCAGCCAAGAAAAUGAAAUUGGGAACGGGAUGCUGGGGAAAGUGUACAAAGCACUGGUCCCAGAGGCCUGGACUGUUGCCAUAAAAAGGCUCCAUGUUUCAGAGGAUUUGGAGGAAGAAUUUGUUUCCGAGAUUACAACUCUGGGUAGUCUGAGGCAUCCAAAUUUGGUACCUCUAAUCGGCUUUUGCUAUGAGAGGGAUGAGCGACUUCUUGUUUACAAAUACAUGCCUAAUGGAAACUUACAUGAGUGGUUGCAUUCAACCGACGACAAGGCAAGACUAUUAGACUUUCCUCUAAGGCUUAAAAUUGUUGUUGGCAUCGCGAAAGCCCUGGCUUGGCUUCAUGAUGGUGGAAAUUUCCAUGUUGUGCAUAGUAACAUUAGCACACAAUGUAUCUUGCUCGAUGAAAAUUUUGAUCCCAAGUUAUCCAAUUUUUGGGAGGCAACACAUGCAAAAACAAAUGACAUAGAUUCUAACAGAAGUCUAUUGCCAAUAGCAGACUCUUUAUGCUAUACAACUUACACGAAAGAUGUAUAUAGAUUUGGGGUUGUGCUUCUUGAGCUUUUAACAAGGAAGGAAUCUUACCAGUUGAGCUGCUUAAGUCAAAAUCAUUUCAACAGUUCUUUUGCAAGUCUACUUGAUGUGGAUAAACUACUGUUAGGCCAAGGAUUUGAUGAUAUGUUAAUGCAGCUACUUGAACUUGCACGUCACUGCAUGAAAUUCAUUCCUGACCUGAGGCCAACAAUGCAACAAGUAUAUCAGAUUGUUGUUGCGAUUGCUCGAAUCAAAGAUCAAACAGGGGACCCUGAAAUACAGUUGCACGUGGACUAGAAGCAAGGGUGGAGCCACCAUCGUAGGCCAAGGAUUUGAUGAUAUGGUAAUGCAGCUACUUGAACUUGCAAGUCACUGCAUGAAAUUCAUUCCUGAUCAGAUGCCAACAAUUCAACAAGUAUAUCAGAUUUUUGCUCGAACCAAGGAUCAAACAGGGGACCCUGAAAUACAGUUGCAUGUGGACAAGAAGCAAGGGCGGGCGGAGUCACCAUCAUAGGUCAUGUGUGUCCUGGGAUGACAAUUUCACAGGGAAAAACUUGCGAAAAUCAAUGGAGGCCAUAUAUAACAUGUUGUUUGCAUCAAAGAGUGGAACAAGCUCAAGAAUAAUGGCCUUCUUUGCAAGAGGAGAGUAUUAGUUGUUGGCGUCCUGGAUGGCAAUUUUGUGUUCUAUGUGGCGUCAUACGUGUAUUAUGCCAUGUAGGACGCAUGUGUCUACUUGUGUCUACCCAAAGUUAGAGGGAAAAAGGGAACAUUUAUGUAUUAUGACUAAAUAAAUUAGUUUCUUUUGUAUUAUCAUUGAUGAAGUUUUUAAGAAUUGAGG